UUUAAUUGUAAAUAAAUUCUGAUUCUAUUUUGCUUUCAAUAUUAACAAUAACUGAAAGACACGGACAGAAUCGCGAUUUAAAAUUCAAGUUUCCGAUCUGAAUUGUAAAAAAUUACAUAAUAUCUGCUCAGUUCACAUUGAGAGUUACCCGAUAGUCGAUUCGUGAUUGCUUUACAUUCUCGCGUGUUUUUACUCGUAUCGGGUAAAUUUCGCAUGCGAGCGAGUGUCAGAAGUGUCAAAUUGAGCAACGAACGAUCACUUCGAUGCAUCUAUUAAUCCGCGCGAUCACGUGUUUUUCAAUAUCGAAAUAACAUUACACUAUUACGCGCCAGGAUAUUACAUGGCAGAUUUCGAAAACUUCAGAUUGUACGUAAAUUAUUAAAUUAGAGAAUUGAUACAAUCUCAAGUUUGCGUAACGCAAGCGAAUUAGUAAAUUUCUAUUAUUAUGGCAUCUGGAUUUCCGGGAAGCGCUCGCAGAGUCAGCUCACAGGCAGCUUACAGCGAAAAAUAUUUAACAGGGUGUUCGACCGCUUUAUCCUUCAGUGCUUUCUUAAUCGUCGUCAGUUGUACAACGUACGUCCAAGAUCGAAUUGUGUGCGCUCUGUGUUUCUCGCAUUUUUUUUUACUUGUCGAAAGUGAAUUUGAUGUGCAAAUAUCGGGAAUGUCGAAUCAAAUGAUGCAUGAUCAUCUCAGUUUAUUAAUUCGUACGAUCGCAAUUAACGCGUUUUCCAAUAUUUGUAAUAAUGCGUCACGAUUUCGGAAAUUCCAAUUUUAUGGAACGCGAGUGAACUGAUGGAUUAGUGAAACGGCAAGGUUUUACGAAAAACGAGUGAAUUGACGAAUUAGUGAAGUGCAGAUAUCAUAGUGCGUGGAUGCAUAUAGUGAUCAAGAGAAUACCAUAUUCCGGACGAGGAUUGCCUGGAGCGAAGGAACAACUAAGAAUAAAAAGGAAUGCAGUGACCCCUCCCCCCCCCCCUAAACCAGGAAAAAGUAACAAGUACGAUAGCAUCGAUCGAGCUCGUUGCUGACAUUGAAGAUCCGAAGAAAGAUACAAGAAUGCGAUAAAAAGCAGCGAGAAUGAAGAAUGCGUACUUGGAAAAAAACGCGUCGAAAAUGCGACAUUUCGCACAAGUUCGAGACGUCAAAGAAUACACGUGUUUUCAAGUCCGAAAGAAACUAAAAGUAUCGUAAGAAAGUGGAGCUAUUGCAAAAUUUGAACGACUCGGAUUAGCCUAACAUUCAUUUACAACAAUGUAUUUACUUAGGACAGGUUUAAAUAAACUGUUUUAAUAAAUUAUUGGUUGUUGGUCGGCUCGUUUUAUUGACGCUUGCAUGCAAGCGGGUCUUCAACAGGCCUCGAGUUGACAUCUCACACGGUAAAAUGUAAAAGUAUUAUAUAUUAUGCGUAACUUGAAGGUCGCGUUCAGCGUCGAUUAUGUAUCAAUCGCCAGGAGCUUAUUUUCAGAAUAGCGUGUGACAUCAUUUUAAAAAUAUUGCAAGACUAGUAAAUAAACUCGGAAUGUUUUGACAACAAUAGAAUUUGCAAAACUGUUACUAAAUAACAUUAUCUCGAAAAUAAUUUCAAGAUAAGGAAGCUAAUGGACGAAACAAUAUUUGCUAAUUGCUAUCGAUCGCUGUUAAUGAUGGAAAAGGUACAUUUAUAAAUAUCUUCAUGCAUUAAGAGAUGCAUAAUCUUUUUAUGACAUUCCCAGCUGUGCGAGAAAACUGCAAAUGGGGAUAAUCGCGGCGAAACGCGUAAUUAUGCGUAUCAGAUCCAGUGAAACGAUACCAACUGCAUAUUUUCCCUUGCAACGCAACAGCCUGCCCGUAUCCUAAGUCGUUUCACCUUGAAAAUAUUAAUAACUCCCGCAAAACUGGGGACUAUCAUUUCGAGGCAUUGGCUAUCGGUUACACCCCUCUGCACUAAGUUUUUAAAGCAUCAUCGAUAAUCACAGAGUGUACGCAUUUAAAAAAAAUCCAAAGACGGAGUCUGAAAACCACGCGGUAUGAUUAUCGUGUGCGCGGUAUCUGGUUCAAAGAUAAUUUGAAUCAACCGUAUCAGCCUACAGUUCAUAAUUUAUGUACACAUUACUUGGAGAAAUCUUAAUAAAAUGGAGACUGAUUUCAAUCUGAGAUUCGAAUUCAAAUCCAGAGAGUGGGACACUCGGGCGAAGCCCAACAUGCGUUCCGUCGGAA
Long non-coding RNA from Linepithema humile (Argentine ant), 2196 nucleotides. RefSeq lists it as uncharacterized. NCBI's taxonomy places the organism in Eukaryota, Metazoa, Arthropoda, Insecta, Hymenoptera, Formicidae. The record is from RefSeq and is a predicted model, not a curated record.